AUGACCGGUUCUUAUAAUGACAUCAACGUGUUUCAGCGUUCUCUGGUGUUCUCAAGGCUUGCAGAAGGCCACAACCCAGAGGUCAACUUUGAGAUCAAUGGCCACAACCACAACAAGGAAUACUACCUAGUUGAUAGUAUCUAUCCUCAGUGGUCAACUCUUGUUAAGACAAUAUACAAUCCAGAAGGAGGGAAGAGGCAGAGAUUUGUCCAAGCACAAGAGAGUGCUAGGAAGGAUGUGGAGGUGCUUUUGGUGUGCUUCAAUUUGGACGGGUUAUCGUUCGACACCAUGCUAGAAGAUGGAGCACCGAGAAGUUUUGGGAGGUGA
Molecule: ribosomal RNA, 327 nt
Filed under: Triticum aestivum (bread wheat)
Lineage: Eukaryota; Viridiplantae; Streptophyta; Magnoliopsida; Poales; Poaceae
Description: partial small subunit ribosomal RNA
Source: RNAcentral